RNAcentral lists this unclassified non-coding RNA (250 nucleotides) under plant metagenome. Its description in RNAcentral is "partial contains small subunit ribosomal RNA, internal transcribed spacer 1, and 5.8S ribosomal RNA". The record is from RNAcentral.
GUAGGUGAACCUGCGGAAGGAUCAUUAACACGUUAUCCAAAACGAUAAACCAACCGUGAACUUGUUUAACCCUGACUUGGAUGAAUUUUUCGCUGCUUGUUCUCGUGCUUCGGCAGGCCGUGAACCGUGCCUUUUGGUGUAAAAGCCAAGAGGACCGGAACGGCAUACGUGCGGGACAGUACUGCCCCCAGCGAUGUGAUGUUUGAAGAAGACAUCUCUCGCUUAUCUGGCACCGUGCGGGACGGAUAUU